RNAcentral lists this long non-coding RNA (1102 nucleotides) under Cyanistes caeruleus (blue tit). Its description in RNAcentral is "lncRNA (ENSCCEG00000000029.1)". The record is from RNAcentral. Lineage: Eukaryota; Metazoa; Chordata; Aves; Passeriformes; Paridae.
UUUCCCUCCAAUGAUAUGUUGCUUCUAUAAUUAGAGCUCUUCUUUUGAUGCCUCCAAGCCUAAUUUUCUUUUGUAUCUUUGUGUUUGUUUUCAUUAGGUUUCCAUGGAAAUCCUGGACUUGUAAUUGAUUUCUUUAAAGUUCAGCAGCUCUGCAAGUGGAUGUGAAGCAUUCAAGUUAGGAUAGCUUCCACUACACUAUACAAUGCUACCCUCUAGUUCUUUUACAGUACAAUAGCACCUUCCUUUAAAUCUCUGUGUAGGUAAAACAGACUAAAAACAUGUCUAGUACAUCCAGAUCAACUUUUUUUGCAUGCAUGUUCUGACUGUUGGGUCAGAGGAGAAGGAGCAAAAAAAUCACCUUACUUUGGUGCACUUACUUUUGGAAGAAACAGGGAUUUACAGAGGAUUUGUCAUCAAAAUUAGAACAAGAGCUGUUGAAAAUACUUGCUGCUGUGAGAAGAUGGCAUUUGCUGCUUGUCUUUUGCUGCUGUUAGCUGUCUGGGGUAAAACACUGAACACUGCUCAAAUUCAGCCCUGGUAUUUUGGGUGCUGAGCUGAACUGGUUAUGUUGCCUCCUGCCUGAUAAGCAUUCAGCUCUCAGAUCUAAAUCAGGAAUAGCAAAAGUAACUAAAAUAACCCACAGACAAAGGCACAUUUUUAUCCAGUUACAAAGUGUUUAACUUGAAAAUACAGUACACUGUUGACCUAACUAACUACCCAUAUGGGAGUGAGUUGUUAAGACAGUGAUUUUCAACUGUGAGACAUGAUUGAUAUCCAGAUAUUUCAGAGUAUUUCAUAUAGCAUUCAUUUAGCAUAUUUCAUUUCUCCUUUUGUACUUCAGUUUUUGAAAGCUAUGAUUGAAAUCACCCUGUACCCUUGGCCAAGUUUCCCUGAAAACAAGAUUGUCACCGAUUCUUUCACCUGUUUGUCUCACUGCUCUGGACACACCAACAUGGUGCAGAUGCUGUGUGACAUGCUGGGACCCUCUCUGUUGUCAUACAAAGCAUUUAAACUUCAGUGGUCACCCCCUACCACAAGCACUGAAGACAUUUCUUGCUCAAAUUAUUUCAUCACAACAAUGGUGAAACACAGUCUUACCACC